Long non-coding RNA from Saccostrea echinata, 492 nucleotides. RefSeq lists it as uncharacterized. The record is from RefSeq and is a predicted model, not a curated record. The transcript is spliced from 2 exons. Lineage: Eukaryota; Metazoa; Mollusca; Bivalvia; Ostreida; Ostreidae.
AAACUAGAACUGUCCAAACGGGACAAAAUACCCCCCGCUGGGUUUUUCAGAAGUACGUUUUUCCAUAAUAAAGAUAUGUAUCAAACACAAAUUAUGAAUUUUUUCUUCCAGUGACCUUGAACUUCCCCAAAUGACCUUGGGUCAAGGUCAUGACACACCUUUGGGUCAUGGGCAAUCUUUGUGUGAAAUGAGAACCUACCAAGUUUUUCCAUAAUAAAGAUAUGUAUCAAACACGAAUUAUGAAAUUUUUCUUCCAGUGACCUUGAACUUCCCCAAAUUACCUUAAGUCAAGGUCAUGACACACCCUUAGGUCAUGAGCAAUCUUAGUGUGGAGUAGUAGAUUCUAAUGUCCCUUUGUAAGAAAGAUAUGGACCGGACACGAUUGCACAGACAGACGGACAGCUAGACAGACGGACAAACAGACGGACGGACGGACAGACGGACAAGGUGAUUCCUAUAUACCCCCCCAAACUUCGUUUGCGGGGGGUAUAA